This 611-nucleotide ribosomal RNA is filed under the name Hansenula anomala. Its description in RNAcentral is "Wickerhamomyces anomalus partial large subunit ribosomal RNA". It matches the Rfam family "Eukaryotic large subunit ribosomal RNA", at positions 36 to 662 of the family's 3401-position model. The record is from RNAcentral. Lineage: Eukaryota; Fungi; Ascomycota; Saccharomycetes; Phaffomycetales; Wickerhamomycetaceae.
AAAUUUCCCAAUAGCGGAGGAAAAGAAACCAACAGGGAUUGCCUCAGUAACGGCGAGUGAAGCGGCAAAAGCUCAAAUUUGAAAUCUAGCACCUUCGGUGUUUGAGUUGUAAUUUGAAGAUGGUAACCUUGGGUUUGGCUCUUGUCUAUGUUCCUUGGAACAGGACGUCAUAGAGGGUGAGAAUCCCGUCUGAUGAGAUGCCCAUUCCUAUGUAAGGUGCUAUCGAAGAGUCGAGUUGUUUGGGAAUGCAGCUCUAAGUGGGUGGUAAAUUCCAUCUAAAGCUAAAUAUUGGCGAGAGACCGAUAGCGAACAAGUACAGUGAUGGAAAGAUGAAAAGAACUUUGAAAAGAGAGUGAAAAAGUACGUGAAAUUGUUGAAAGGGAAGGGCAUUAGAUCAGACUUGGUGUUUUACGAUUAUCUUCUCUUCUUGAGUUGUGCACUCGUAUUUCACUGGGCCAGCAUCGAUUCGGAUGGCAAGAUAAUGGCAGUUGAAUGUGGCUUCACUUCGGUGGAGUGUUAUAGCUUCUGCUGAUAUUGCCUGUCUGGAUCGAGGGCUGCGUCUUUUGACUAGGAUGCUGGCGUAAUGAUCUAAUGCCGCCCGUCUUAAAAAC